GUUGCGGACAGUGUCUGGUGGGUAGUUUGACUGGGGCGGUCUCCUCCUAAAGAGUAACGGAGGAGCACGAAGGUUGGCUAAUCCUGGUCGGACAUCAGGAGGUUAGUGCAAUGGCAUAAGCCAGCUUGACUGCGAGCGUGACGGCGCGAGCAGGUGCGAAAGCAGGUCAUAGUGAUCCGGUGGUUCUGAAUGGAAGGGCCAUCGCUCAACGGAUAAAAGGUACUCCGGGGAUAACAGGCUGAUACCGCCCAAGAGUUCAUAUCGACGGCGGUGUUUGGCACCUCGAUGUCGGCUCAUCACAUCCUGGGGCUGAAGUAGGUCCCAAGGGUAUGGCUGUUCGCCAUUUAAAGUGGUACGCGAGCUGGGUUUAGAACGUCGUGAGACAGUUCGGUCCCUA
Molecule: ribosomal RNA, 397 nt
Filed under: Escherichia coli
Lineage: Bacteria; Pseudomonadati; Pseudomonadota; Gammaproteobacteria; Enterobacterales; Enterobacteriaceae
Description: partial 23S ribosomal RNA
Rfam family: Bacterial large subunit ribosomal RNA
Source: RNAcentral